UUGCCCUUCGAGUUGUGCCAGG
Molecule: unclassified non-coding RNA, 22 nt
Filed under: Chlamydomonas reinhardtii
Lineage: Eukaryota; Viridiplantae; Chlorophyta; Chlorophyceae; Chlamydomonadales; Chlamydomonadaceae
Description: small RNA Cre_3944
Source: RNAcentral